This 1400-nucleotide ribosomal RNA is filed under the name uncultured bacterium. RNAcentral describes it as "bacterial SSU rRNA". It matches the Rfam family "Bacterial small subunit ribosomal RNA". The record is from RNAcentral.
AUUCGAUUAGAGUUUGAUCAUGGCUCAGAUUGAACGCUGGCGGCAGGCUUAACACAUGCAAGUCGAGCGGUAGCACAGGGGAGCUUGCUCCCUGGGUGACGAGCGGCGGACGGGUGAGUAAUGUCUGGGAAACUGCCUGAUGGAGGGGGAUAACUACUGGAAACGGUAGCUAAUACCGCAUAACGUCGCAAGACCAAAGAGGGGGACCUUCGGGCCUCUUGCCAUCAGAUGUGCCCAGAUGGGAUUAGCUAGUAGGUGGGGUAAUGGCUCACCUAGGCGACGAUCCCUAGCUGGUCUGAGAGGAUGACCAGCCACACUGGAACUGAGACACGGUCCAGACUCCUACGGGAGGCAGCAGUGGGGAAUAUUGCACAAUGGGCGCAAGCCUGAUGCAGCCAUGCCGCGUGUGUGAAGAAGGCCUUCGGGUUGUAAAGCACUUUCAGCGAGGAGGAAGGUGGUGAGCUUAAUACGCUCAUCAAUUGACGUUACUCGCAGAAGAAGCACCGGCUAACUCCGUGCCAGCAGCCGCGGUAAUACGGAGGGUGCAAGCGUUAAUCGGAAUUACUGGGCGUAAAGCGCACGCAGGCGGUUUGUUAAGUCAGAUGUGAAAUCCCCGGGCUCAACCUGGGGAACUGCAUUUGAAACUGGCAAAGCUAGAGUCUCGUAGAGGGGGGUAGAAUUCCAGGUGUAGCGGUGAAAUGCGUAGAGAUCUGGAGGAAUACCGGUGGCGAAGGCGGCCCCCUGGACGAAGACUGACGCUCAGGUGCGAAAGCGUGGGGAGCAAACAGGAUUAGAUACCCUGGUAGUCCACGCUGUAAACGAUGUCGAUUUGGAGGUUGUGCCCUUGAGGCGUGGCUUCCGGAGCUAACGCGUUAAAUCGACCGCCUGGGGAGUACGGCCGCAAGGUUAAAACUCAAAUGAAUUGACGGGGGCCCGCACAAGCGGUGGAGCAUGUGGUUUAAUUCGAUGCAACGCGAAGAACCUUACCUACUCUUGACAUCCAGAGAACUUUCCAGAGAUGGAUUGGUGCCUUCGGGAACUCUGAGACAGGUGCUGCAUGGCUGUCGUCAGCUCGUGUUGUGAAAUGUUGGGUUAAGUCCCGCAACGAGCGCAACCCUUAUCCUUUGUUGCCAGCGGUUCGGCCGGGAACUCAAAGGAGACUGCCAGUGAUAAACUGGAGGAAGGUGGGGAUGACGUCAAGUCAUUAUGGCCCUUACGAGUAGGGCUACACACGUGCUACAAUGGCGUAUACAAAGAGAAGCGACCUCGCGAGAGCAAGCGGACCUCAUAAAGUACGUCGUAGUCCGGAUUGGAGUCUGCAACUCGACUCCAUGAAGUCGGAAUCGCUAGUAAUCGUAGAUCAGAAUGCUACGGUGAACACGUUCCCGGGCCUUGUAGAC